This 434-nucleotide ribosomal RNA is filed under the name uncultured bacterium. Its description in RNAcentral is "partial 16S ribosomal RNA". It matches the Rfam family "Bacterial small subunit ribosomal RNA", at positions 29 to 507 of the family's 1533-position model. The record is from RNAcentral.
AGCGAACGCUGGCGGCAGGCCUAACACAUGCAAGUCGAACGAACCUUUCGGGGUUAGUGGCGGACGGGGGAGUAACACGUGGGAACGUGCCUUUAGGUUCGGAAUACCUCAGGGAAACUUGUGCUAAUACCGAAUGUGCCCUUCGGGGGAAAGAUUUGUCGCCUUUAGAGCGGCCCGCGUCGGAUUAGCUAGUUGGUUGAGGUAAUGGCUCACCAAGGCGACAAUCAGUAGCCGGUCUGAGAGGAUGAUCCGACACAUUGGGACUGGGCCGCGGCCCAAACUCCUACGGGAGGCAGCAGUGGGGAAUCUUGCGAAACGGGCGAAAUGCUGACGCAGCCAUGCCGCGUGAAUGAUGUAGUUCUUAGGAUUGUAAAAUUCUUUCACCGGGGACGAUAAUGACGGUACCCGGAGAAGAAGCCCCGGCUAACUUCGUG